UACGAAGGGGGCUAGCGUUGUUCGGAAUCACUGGGCGUAAAGGGCGCGUAGGCGGCUGUUCAAGUCGGGGGUGAAAUCCCGUGGCUCAACCACGGAAUGGCCUUCGAUACUGGACGGCUCGAGACCGGAAGAGGUGAGUGGAACUGCGAGUGUAGAGGUGAAAUUCGUAGAUAUUCGCAAGAACACCAGUGGCGAAGGCGGCUCACUGGUCCGGUUCUGACGCUGAGGUGCGAAAGCGUGGGGAGCAAACAGG
RNAcentral lists this ribosomal RNA (253 nucleotides) under uncultured bacterium. Its description in RNAcentral is "partial 16S ribosomal RNA". It matches the Rfam family "Bacterial small subunit ribosomal RNA", at positions 524 to 776 of the family's 1533-position model. The record is from RNAcentral.